UCAUUUUGUCUAAACCUCUAUAUGGUAUCAGAGCUGGGGACACUGAAGUCAGAAUUGCACUUAGAAUAAGUUUGUCCUGACGGAACCAAAGGUGAUGAGCUGUAGUGGCAGCUGCAUCAGUUGACGUCGGUAGGGGUGGGCAGGUAUGAGUGCCAUCGACAUAGCCAAAGAGGUUAGAGCCGAGGAGGAGAGACUCAAAUUGAGCAUGCCAUGAAGGGAAGUUGGUUGGUGUGAGACGUGCAGUAAUUUGCUGGGUGGCAUUGAUGGCUAUUGGAAAACUAUCAGAGGAAGAAGUGGCCAUAGCAGAAGCGAGAAAGACAGGAAAUACUCGUUGGAGUUUUGAGGCGUUAAUCUGAUACCAUAUAGAGUGGUAUUGGCAGUAACUACCAAGGAUUGAGCAGUGGAGUCAAGCCUUCGAAGAUAUGCCUCAUGACCAAGUAACAGAUCAUGUAAUUCUUCAAAGGAGAGUGAAGACUCUUGGGCUCGAAUUGGGGCAACAAUGUCACGAAAAUCCGAUCCUUAGCCAUGAAGAACAUAUAAGGUGAUGUCAUCUUGAGAUAAUGGGGCAUCGAUGAGAGCAAGCUCAUCGGCAAUGGUUUUUACAGAGUGUAGGUACUCUGUUAAACUGCGAUUGCCACGUUGCAUGAGAGUGAGAUCUUCUUUGAGCUGCAUGACACGAGUCCUGGAUCGACUAGCAUACAGUUUUUUCAGUUUUGUCCAGGCUUGAUGUGACGUCUUUGAGGUUGCUAUGAGUGGUAUCACAGCUGGGGACACUGAAGUCAGAAUUGCACUUAGAAUAAGUUUGUCCUGACGGAACCAAAGGUGAUGAGCUGUAGUGGCAGCUGCAUCAGUUGACGUCGGUAGGGGUGGGCAGGUAUGAGUGCCAUCGACAUAGCCAAAGAGGUUAUAGCCGAGGAGGAGAGACUCAAAUUGAGCAUGCCAUGAAGGGAAGUUGGUUGGUGUGAGACGUGCAGUAAUUUGCUGGGUGGCAUUGAUGGCUAUUGGAAAACUAUCAGAGGAAGAAGUGG
This 1028-nucleotide long non-coding RNA is filed under the name Vitis vinifera (wine grape). Its description in RNAcentral is "long non-coding RNA (VVIN_LNC001518)". The record is from RNAcentral. Lineage: Eukaryota; Viridiplantae; Streptophyta; Magnoliopsida; Vitales; Vitaceae.